CCCUUUGAUACUCUGGGCGGCACGCGCGCUACACUGGUUUAUAUAACGUGUAAUUUGGACGAUAGUCUGUAUAAAUCACUAAUAUAAAACCGUGAAUGGGAUAGUUUAUUGCAACUUACAAACUUUAACUAGGAAUCCCUUGUAGAAGUAGUGAAUUAUACUGCUUCGAAUACGUCCCUGCCGAUUGUACACACCGCCCGUCGUUUCUUCCGACUGGUACUCAUUGUGAAUUGCGAGGAGAUUCUGUCAAAUCGUUGUAAAUGCUGGGUAUUGGAGGUAGAAAAAGUCGUAACA
RNAcentral lists this ribosomal RNA (294 nucleotides) under uncultured eukaryote. RNAcentral's name for it is "partial 18S ribosomal RNA". It matches the Rfam family "Eukaryotic small subunit ribosomal RNA", at positions 1470 to 1796 of the family's 1831-position model. The record is from RNAcentral.